Molecule: transfer RNA, 75 nt
Filed under: Nanobdellota archaeon
Lineage: Archaea; Nanobdellati; Nanobdellota
Description: tRNA-Ala
Rfam family: tRNA
About the family: Transfer RNA (tRNA) molecules are approximately 80 nucleotides in length. Their secondary structure includes four short double-helical elements and three loops (D, anti-codon, and T loops).
Source: RNAcentral
GGGCCCGUGGUGUAGCGGAAGCACGCUGGCUCGGCAAGCCAGAGGUCCCGGGUUCAAAUCCCGGCGGGUCCACCA